GUGGGGAAUAUUGGACAAUGGGGGGAACCCUGAUCCAGCCAUGCCGCGUGUGUGAAGAAGGCCUUUUGGUUGUAAAGCACUUUAAGCGAGGAGGAGGCUACCGAGAUUAAUACUCUUGGAUAGUGGACGUUACUCGCAGAAUAAGCACCGGCUAACUCUGUGCCAGCAGCCGCGGUAAUACAGAGGGUGCGAGCGUUAAUCGGAUUUACUGGGCGUAAAGCGCGCGUAGGUGGCCAAUUAAGUCAAAUGUGAAAUCCCCGAGCUUAACUUGGGAAUUGCAUUCGAUACUGGUUGGCUAGAGAAUGGGAGAGGAUGGUAGAAUUCCAGGUGUAGCGGUGAAAUGCGUAGAGAUCUGGAGGAAUACCGAUGGCGAAGGCAGCCAUCUGGCCUAAUACUGACACUGAGGUGCGAAAGCAUGGGGAGCAAACAGGAUUAGAUACCCGAGUAGUCC
This 451-nucleotide ribosomal RNA is filed under the name uncultured bacterium. RNAcentral describes it as "partial 16S ribosomal RNA". It matches the Rfam family "Bacterial small subunit ribosomal RNA", at positions 354 to 796 of the family's 1533-position model. The record is from RNAcentral.